CCUACGGGAGGCUGCAGUCGAGGAUCUUCGGCAAUGGGCGCAAGCCUGACCGAGCGACGCCGCGUGCGGGAUGAAGGCCUUCGGGUUGUAAACCGCUGUCCGGGGGGAUGAAAUCAUGGUGGGUACUCCCAUCAUGUUGACAGAGCCCCAGAGGAAGCGCGGGCUAAGUUCGUGCCAGCAGCCGCGGUAAUACGAACUGCGCGAGCGUUAGUCGGAAUGACUGGGCUUACGGGAUCGGUAGGUGGGUGUGAAAUGCCUUGGCUCAACCAAGGCACAGCGCUCUAAACUACUUUGCUUGAGUGAGUCAGGGGUGCACGGAACUUCCGGUGGAGCGGUGAAAUGUGUUGAUAUCGGAAGGAACACCGGCGGCGAAAGCGGUGCACUGGGGCUUAACUGACACUGAGGCACGAAAGCCAGGGGAGCGAACGGGAUUAGAUACCCCUGUAGUC
This 449-nucleotide ribosomal RNA is filed under the name uncultured bacterium. RNAcentral's name for it is "partial 16S ribosomal RNA". It matches the Rfam family "Bacterial small subunit ribosomal RNA", at positions 338 to 795 of the family's 1533-position model. The record is from RNAcentral.